UGGUGGGUAGUUUGACUGGGGCGGUCUCCUCCUAAAGAGUAACGGAGGAGCACGAAGGUUGGCUAAUCCUGGUCGGACAUCAGGAGGUUAGUGCAAUGGCAUAAGCCAGCUUGACUGCGAGCGUGACGGCGCGAGCAGGUGCGAAAGCAGGUCAUAGUGAUCCGGUGGUUCUGAAUGGAAGGGCCAUCGCUCAACGGAUAAAAGGUACUCCGGGGAUAACAGGCUGAUACCGCCCAAGAGUUCAUAUCGACGGCGGUGUUUGGCACCUCGAUGUCGGCUCAUCACAUCCUGGGGCUGAAGUAGGUCCCAAGGGUAUGGCUGUUCGCCAUUUAAAGUGGUACGCGAGCUGGGUUUAGAACGUCGUGAGACAGUUCGGUCCCUAUCUGCCGUGGGCGCUGGAGAACUGAGGGGGGCUGCUCCUAGUACGAGAGGACCGGAGUGGACGCAUCACUGGUGUUCGGGUUGUCAUGCCAAUGGCACUGCCCGGUAGCUAAAUGCGGAAGAGAUAAGUGCUGAAAGCAUCUAAGCACGAAACUUGCCCCGAGAUGAGUUCUCCCUGAGACUUAGAGUCUCCUGAAGGAACGUUGAAGACGACGACGUUGAUAGGCCGGGUGUGUAAGCGCAGCGAUGCGUUGAGCUAACCGGUACUAAUGAACCGUGAGGCU
This 665-nucleotide ribosomal RNA is filed under the name Salmonella enterica subsp. enterica serovar Infantis. Its description in RNAcentral is "partial 23S ribosomal RNA". It matches the Rfam family "Bacterial large subunit ribosomal RNA", at positions 2259 to 2925 of the family's 2925-position model. RNAcentral also lists the same sequence under 2 other names. The record is from RNAcentral. Lineage: Bacteria; Pseudomonadati; Pseudomonadota; Gammaproteobacteria; Enterobacterales; Enterobacteriaceae.